UAGGAAAGGUAUUAGACAGGGAGGAAAAGGGUAACAGCCUCUGUUCAGCUGAGGGAUAAUGAAAAAUACUUUGCUCCAAAGUGCUUUCAGCUGUUAGUCAUUCACUGCACAGUGCCUCCUACCUAGCUCCUGCUUAGCUGCGCGGUCGGCUCCCUUCUAUCUUGGGGCAGCAGCUAGGGGCAGAAAUGCGCAGAGCAGGAAGAGGACCGGAAACUACUUCAAAACUACUUCAUUGGUAGUUCUGCCUGGGGCCAGCCCUAAUUAAUAACCGCACCUAUUGUUAAAAACCCUUUCUGCUAUAGGAAUGUAAAAGUAGGGGUGGGUGAGUGAGAAACAUUACCUCCAUAUCCUCUCGCACUUGUUCCUGCUGGUCUCUCAGCUCUCCAAAAGCAUCGAUAAUAAGACCUAGAAUUUAAAAUACAAACUGUGUUUCUCUGCAUAGUGGUCACAGGGAUAGGAGUGAUGGGGGCGGGUGGGGAGCAGAGGCCACUUUGUUUUGUCCAAAAAGUGAAUUAUCAGCCUGAACUAUUCAAUUAAGGCGAAACUGGGGGAAACAGCCUGCUUUGCCAGAGCUUCACGCUGGCCCCGUCUUACUGCUCCUCUUACUCCACUUCAGUGCUGUGUACCUGCUCCUCCUCGGAACUCUCUCCUCCCCACCUUCCCCUCAUUCUUCUCUCUUGCUCAGUGGUUUGUUUUCAGUCUUCGCAGUGGGUGCUUCUCCUCCUGACCCUCACGAGGGUCCUUCUUUCUAGCACAUAACAGGGCAUAUCUUACAGGCUCCUCAGCUCACCAUGAACUGGACUAAACUCAUUGUCUGUCCUUCACUGGUUCCUGAGAAGCUACUGACUAAGACAUAGUACCCCUUCCUUUCCCCAGAAGACGAUAAAACAUGAUGUUCCCAUAGUCCUCUGCUCCCUCCCCACCUUUCUGCCUGGGAGACCAAAGACUGGGCCGCAGGAGCCACGGGACGAGGAGCUAAUCCAGGGAGGCAGUGUGACAUGGUGGCCUCACAGCAGCAGGGGGACUCACCGUCAUCAUGUCAUCACACUUCAUGUCGGGCUCAUCGUCAUCUUCACUUUUGUUGUAGAACUUACGGAAGAAGUUGAAGGCCACCACCGUGUAGAGGUGGCUCUGGUGCUCAUGCCCUUGUGUAGCUCCCUAUGCAACACUGACUCUGAGCUGGCCACAUAACUUGCUUUUCUUGUUGGUAUCUGGGAUUGAACUCGGGACCAUGUGCUUUCGAGGCAGGCGGCGGAACCACUGAGCUAAAUCCCCAG
Molecule: long non-coding RNA, 1277 nt
Filed under: Heterocephalus glaber (naked mole-rat)
Lineage: Eukaryota; Metazoa; Chordata; Mammalia; Rodentia; Bathyergidae
Description: lncRNA (ENSHGLG00100051719.1)
Source: RNAcentral